RNAcentral lists this long non-coding RNA (488 nucleotides) under Calidris pugnax (ruff). Its description in RNAcentral is "lncRNA (ENSCPUG00000015753.1)". The record is from RNAcentral. Lineage: Eukaryota; Metazoa; Chordata; Aves; Charadriiformes; Scolopacidae.
GACUUAUCCUGUGCCGAAGAAAGUGUUUGAGUCUGGAAGCUCUUGGUUUUGUACUAUCUAGGCAAUUAACUUAAGUGAGAUAUUUUAUUUACAGACAGUGAGGUCUGAUGAGCCUAUGGUAAGGCAUCUACUUGCUAACUGCAACCAAAGAACCAAAAAUAGCUGUAAAAGGAAGGGAGAGGAGAAGAUGGUGAAAGAAUCUAGCAGUUAAAAUUUCCAGAACAACUUGUGCUAUGGUUGAACCUUAUGUGACAUUCAGCCUGCUUAUCUGCAUCCACAGGCUUCAAUGCAAGUAACAAGCUGUGUCAGGAAGAAAGCCUGAGUCGGUUCUGUUCCACAGCAUGGCUUUGGAUGGCUUUGUAGAGAAUAAAAAGAACCUGGAAAGAGAAUUAUUGAUUUGCAUUAUGGAAACCACUUCAACCAGGCACUGGAAAUCUUUCAAGGCUUGUGUGCUGGCUCAUAUUUUCCUUUCCCAAGGCGGAGGUUAA